RNAcentral lists this ribosomal RNA (488 nucleotides) under uncultured bacterium. Its description in RNAcentral is "bacterial SSU rRNA". It matches the Rfam family "Bacterial small subunit ribosomal RNA", at positions 32 to 518 of the family's 1533-position model. The record is from RNAcentral.
AACGCUGGCGGCGUGCCUAACACAUGCAAGUCGAACGAAGCUCUUUCAAUGCGAUUCGUCAAGUUGAAAGGAUGACUUAGUGGCGAACGGGUGAGUAACGCGUGAGCAACCUGCCCCGGAGUGGGGGACAACAGUUGGAAACGACUGCUAAUACCGCAUGAUAUAUACUAACGGCUAUCGUUGGUAUAUCAAAGAUUUAUUGCUCUGGGAUGGGCUCGCGUCUGAUUAGAUAGUUGGCGGGUAACGGCCCACCAAGUCGACGAUCAGUAGCCGGACUGAGAGGUUGAACGGCCACAUUGGGACUGAGAUACGGCCCAGACUCCUACGGGAGGCAGCAGUGGGGAAUAUUGGGCAAUGGGGGGAAACCCUGACCCAGCAACGCCGCGUGAAGGAAGGAGGCCUUCGGGUUGUAAACUUCUUUUGUUGAGGACGAAGAAAGUGACGGUACUCGACGAAUAAGCUACGGCUAACUACGUGCCAGCCGCUGC